AGAGUUUGAUCCUGGCUCAGGACGAACGCUGGCGGCACGCUUAACACAUGCAAGUCGAACGAGAGAAGAGGAGCUUGCUUUUCUGAUCUAGUGGCGGACGGGUGAGUAACACGUGAGCAAUCUGCCUUUCAGAGGGGGAUACCGAUUGGAAACGAUCGUUAAUACCGCAUAACAUAAUUGAACCGCAUGAUUUGAUUAUCAAAGAUUUAUCGCUGAAAGAUGAGCUCGCGUCUGAUUAGCUAGUUGGUAAGGUAACGGCUUACCAAGGCGACGAUCAGUAGCCGGACUGAGAGGUUGAUCGGCCACAUUGGGACUGAGACACGGCCCAGACUCCUACGGGAGGCAGCAGUGGGGAAUAUUGCACAAUGGAGGAAACUCUGAUGCAGCGAUGCCGCGUGAGGGAAGGAGGUUUUAGGAUUGUAAACCUCUGUCUUCAGGGACGAAAAAAGACGGUACCUGAGGAGGAAGCUCCGGCUAACUACGUGCCAGCAGCCGCGGUAAUACGUAGGGAGCGAGCGUUGUCCGGAAUUACUGGGUGUAAAGGGAGCGUAGGCGGGAUCGCAAGUCAGAUGUGAAAACUAUGGGCUUAACCCAUAAACUGCAUUUGAAACUGUGGUUCUUGAGUGAAGUAGAGGUAAGCGGAAUUCCUAGUGUAGCGGUGAAAUGCGUAGAUAUUAGGAGGAACAUCAGUGGCGAAGGCGGCUUACUGGGCUUUAACUGACGCUGAGGCUCGAAAGCGUGGGGAGCAAACAGGAUUAGAUACCCUGGUAGUCCACGCCGUAAACGAUGAUUACUAGGUGUGGGGGGACUGACCCCUUCCGUGCCGCAGCAAACGCAAUAAGUAAUCCACCUGGGGAGUACGACCGCAAGGUUGAAACUCAAAGGAAUUGACGGGGGCCCGCACAAGCAGUGGAGUAUGUGGAUUAAUUCGAAGCAACGCGAAGAACCUUACCAGGUCUUGACAUCGUAUGCAUAGCUCAGAGAUGAGUGAAAUCUCUUCGGAGACAUAUAGACAGGUGGUGCAUGGUUGUCGUCAGCUCGUGUCGUGAGAUGUUGGGUUAAGUCCCGCAACGAGCGCAACCCUUACUGUUAGUUGCUACGCAAGAGCACUCUAGCAGGACUGCCGUUGACAAAACGGAGGAAGGUGGGGAUGACGUCAAAUCAUCAUGCCCCUUAUGACCUGGGCCUCACACGUACUACAAUGGCUGUCAACAGAGGGAAGCAAAGCCGCGAGGUGGAGCGAACCCCUAAAAGCAGUCUUAGUUCGGAUUGUAGGCUGCAACCCGCCUACAUGAAGUCGGAAUUGCUAGUAAUCGCAGAUCAGCAUGCUGCGGUGAAUACGUUCCCGGGCCUUGUACACACCGCCCGUCACGCCAUGGGAGUCGGUAACACCCGAAGCCUGUAGUCUAACCGCAAGGAGGACGCAGUCGAAGGUGGGAUUGAUGACUGGGGUGAAGUCGUAACAAGGUA
This 1470-nucleotide ribosomal RNA is filed under the name metagenome. RNAcentral describes it as "bacterial SSU rRNA". It matches the Rfam family "Bacterial small subunit ribosomal RNA". The record is from RNAcentral.